RNAcentral lists this ribosomal RNA (647 nucleotides) under Klebsiella pneumoniae. RNAcentral describes it as "bacterial SSU rRNA". It matches the Rfam family "Bacterial small subunit ribosomal RNA", at positions 75 to 715 of the family's 1533-position model. Lineage: Bacteria; Pseudomonadati; Pseudomonadota; Gammaproteobacteria; Enterobacterales; Enterobacteriaceae. The record is from RNAcentral.
AGAGCUUGCUCUCGGGUGACGAGCGCGGACGGGUGAGUAAUGUCUGGUAAACUGCCUGAUGAAGGGGGAUAACUACUGGAAACGGAAGCUAAAACCGCUUAACGUCGCAUGACCGAAGUGGUGGACCUUCGGGCCUCAUGCUAUCAGAUGUGCCCCGAUGGGAUUAGCUACGACGUGGGAUAACGGCUCACCUAGGCGACGAUCCCUAGCUGGUCUGAGAGGAUGACCAGCCACACUGGAACUGAGCCACGAUCAAACACUCAAAGGGAGGCAGCAGUGGGGAAUAUUGCACAAUGGGCGCAAGCCUGAUGCAGCCAUGCCGCGUAUGUGAAGAAGGCCUUCGGGUUGUAAAGCACUUUCAGCGGGGAGGAAGGCGGUGAGGUUAAUAACCUUGUCGAUUGACGUUACCCGCAGAAGAAGCACCGGCUAACUCCGUGCCAGCAGCCGCGGUAAUACGGAGGGUGCAAGCGUUAAUCGGAAUUACUGGGCGUAAAGCGCACGCAGGCGGUCUGUCAAGUCGGAUGUGAAAUCCCCCGGGCUCAACCUGGGGAACUGCAUUCGAAACUGGCAGGCUAGAGUCUUGUAGAGGGGGGUAGAAUUCCAGGUGUAGCGGUGAAAUGCGUAGAGAUCUGGAGGAAUACCGGUGG